CAUUAGCUUUCCUCUGUCCUCUGUCCAUUCCUCCGCAUAAGGUUUUCUUCGUCUCCUUGCGUCCUCCCGGCCCGGCCCUCUUCGUCCCCCAUUUGUUUUUGAUCCGAUCGGGUGGGUGGAUCGAUGGGGAAGAACGAGUUCCUGACGCCGAAGGCGAUCGCGAACCGGAUCAAGGCGAAGGGGCUGCAGAAGCUGCGGUGGUAUUGCCAGAUGUGCCAGAAGCAGUGCCGCGACGAGAACGGGUUCAAGUGCCACUGCAUGGGCGAGGGCCACCAGCGCCAGAUGCAGGUCUUCGGCCAGAACCCCGACCGCAUCGUCGGCGGCUUCUCCGAGGAGUUCGAGCGCGCCUUCCUCGACCUCAUGCGCCGCUCCCACCGCUUCUCCCGCGUCGCCGCCACCGUCGUCUACAACGAGUACAUCGCCGACCGCCACCACGUCCACAUGAACUCCACCCAGUGGGCCACCCUCACCGAAUUCGUCAAGCACCUCGGCCGCACCGGCCAGUGCAAGGUCGAGGACACCCCCAAGGGCUGGUUCAUCACCUACGUCGACCGCGACUCCGAGACCCUCUUCAAGGACCGCCUCAAGGCCAAGCGCCACAAGGCCGACCUGGCCGACGAGGAGCGCCAGGAGCGCGCCAUCGCCCACCAGAUCGAGCGCGCCGCCGCUGUCUCCGUCGCUGUUGCCGAGACGCCUCUAGCUUCCGAUCCCAACAAUCCCACCGCAUCUCACACGGAUGGUGCCGGCUCCGGGAUUACUGGCAAUCCCCCCGGCGGAAAGGUCGCAUUUUUACUCCAAUCCCAAUCCGCCUCGGUCUCUUCCAAACCUAGUAAUGAGGCUGCGGCCUCAAAGUCCGCCCCCAAGUUAGCGUUCGGCGACGUACCCGAUUCGGAGAGCAAGAACGCGAAGAAUAGCAGCAGUAUUAGGGUUGGUGCUUUGGGAGGUGGUGCCGGUUUGUCGGCGUUGGACGAAUUGAUGAGGGAGGAGGAGAAGGCGAAAGAGAAGAUCAAUAGAAAGGACUACUGGCUUUGCGAGGGGAUCGUCGUGAAGGUGAUGAGUAAGACCUUAGCGGAAAAAGGUUAUUAUAAGCAGAAAGGGGUGGUGAAAAGGGUCGUUGAUAAGUAUGUUGGUGAGAUUGAGAUGCUGGAGAGCAAGCACGUGCUUAGAGUUGAUCAGGAGGAGCUGGAGACGGUGAUCCCGCAGAUUGGAGGGCUUGUAAGAGUAGUCAAUGGAGCGUAUAGGGGGUCGAAUGCGAGGUUAAUUUCAGUGGAUACGGAGAAGUUUUGCGCGAAGGUGCAAAUUGAGAAGGGGGUUUAUGAUGGGAGGGUUCUUAAAGCUGUAGAGUAUGAGGACAUCUGCAAAAUCUUUCAGUGAGAAACUACUGAUUUGAUGUCCAGAGAAAAGGAUUCUUUUGAGUUCUGUUGCGUCAGGUGUGCUUACAGAUGCUUUUAGUUUAACAGAAGCAACAAUGAAUCAUCAGUAUGAGGUUGAUACAGAUCUACAUGUUAGCAAAAACCAUCUCUUGGCAGCUCGUACCGAUGAAGCUAUAUGCAUUAAUCCAGGAGGCAUAUCAUCAAGUAUGGUGGAUCGAAUAAGUGCUAUUGGAUUUCACUGCAGGCACACCUCCUUUCAUUCAUAGUUCUUAGGAUGCUGAAAGUGCGAUAGAAAUAUCUUCGUUAUUGGAGAAGAGAACAGGCGAGGUAAAAUCCCUAAUAUUUUCCUUGUAAAAGAAGUAAGGGCAAUUUGGUUAUUUUACCCUCUCCAUUAAUGUGUACCUCUCUGAAAAUAUUUCUGAAAUUUUAAAAGGGCAAAAUGUAGGUUUUGAAAGUCGAGGAAAAGUGAAAAAGUGGGUACGCACAAGGGGGUUUUAUGUAAUUUAGGCUAUAUAAAAUUACUAAAACAAAAUUGUAGAGGAUCUUGGUUUGGAUUACUUUAGAUCAUGAGUUACUAGUUUGCUUGAGCUCGGCUUGGUGACCCGGGAUUUCCUAAGCAUAGCCGUUUGUCAAGAGUCUGGUUAGAAAGAAAAAUUCCACCUUUAGAUGGAAGGGUGAGGCUGUUAAUGUUGACUUUAUUUGUUAUGUGGACCAUGAUAGUCGGCGUUGCUGCUGUUGGUAAGUUCCAUAUUUGAUUUUUUCA
RNA transcript from Ananas comosus (pineapple), 2136 nucleotides. It is a transcript of the gene named KIN17-like protein, with no coding region annotated. NCBI's taxonomy places the organism in Eukaryota, Viridiplantae, Streptophyta, Magnoliopsida, Poales, Bromeliaceae. The record is from RefSeq and is a predicted model, not a curated record. The transcript has 3 exons.